ACCAACCGGGAUUGCCUCAGUAACGGCGAGUGAAGCGGCAACAGCUCAAAUUUGAAAGCCCGCGGGCGUUGUAAUUUGCAGGCGGAUGUUUUGGGGCGGGCGCUGUCUACGUUCCUUGGAACAGGACGCCGCAGAGGGUGAGAGCCCCGUGCGAUGGCGCCUUUAACCGCGUAAAACUCCGCCGACGAGUCGAGUUGUUUGGGAAUGCAGCUCUAAGUGGGUGGUAAAUUCCAUCUAAAGCUAAAUACUGGCGAGAGACCGAUAGCGAACAAGUACAGUGAUGGAAAGAUGAAAAGCACUUUGAAAAGAGAGUGAAACAGCACGUGAAAUUGUUGAAAGGGAAGGGUAUGCGAUUAGCGGCCAGCAGGAGGUGCGUUCUCGCGAAAAGGCCGUGCACCGUCUUCGGACACCGUGCGCGGAGAUGGCGAGGGGGCGCCUGAGGUCUGCGACUCGAGGUGCUGGCGUAAUGAAUGCAUAGCCACC
Molecule: ribosomal RNA, 483 nt
Filed under: Diutina mesorugosa
Lineage: Eukaryota; Fungi; Ascomycota; Pichiomycetes; Serinales; Debaryomycetaceae
Description: eukaryotic LSU rRNA
Rfam family: Eukaryotic large subunit ribosomal RNA
Source: RNAcentral